GUUUGAUCAUGGCUCAGAUUGAACGCUGGCGGCAUGCCUUACACAUGCAAGUCGAACGGUAACGCGGGGCAACCUGGCGACGAGUGGCGAACGGGUGAGUAAUGCAUCGGAACGUGCCUGGUAAUGGGGGAUAACUGCUCGAAAGAGCAGCUAAUACCGCAUACGACCUGAGGGUGAAAGGGGGGAUCGCAAGACCUCCCGUUAUCAGAGCGGCCGAUGUCGGAUUAGCUAGUUGGUGGGGUAAAGGCCCACCAAGGCGACGAUCCGUAGCUGGUCUGAGAGGACGACCAGCCACACUGGAACUGAGACACGGUCCAGACUCCUACGGGAGGCAGCAGUGGGGAAUAUUGCACAAUGGGCGCAAGCCUGAUGCAGCAACGCCGCGUGAGGGAUGAAGGCCUUCGGGUUGUAAACUGCUUUUGUACGGAACGAAAAGGUUUCUAUUAAUACUAGGAGCUCAUGACGGUACCGUAAGAAUAAGCACCGGCUAACUACGUG
RNAcentral lists this ribosomal RNA (498 nucleotides) under uncultured bacterium. RNAcentral's name for it is "bacterial SSU rRNA". It matches the Rfam family "Bacterial small subunit ribosomal RNA", at positions 11 to 507 of the family's 1533-position model. The record is from RNAcentral.